GAGUUUGAUCAUGGCUCAGGAUGAACGCUGGCGGCGUGCCUAAUACAUGCAAGUCGAACGGAAAGGCCUCUUCGGAGGUACUCGAGUGGCGGACGGCUGAGUAACGCGUAGGACGUACCCCAAACUGAGGAAUAAGCACCAGAAAUGGUGUCUAAUACCGCAUGUGCUCUACGGAGUAAAGCUUCGGCGGUUUGGGAACGGCCUGCGUAUGAUUAGCUUGUUGGUGAGGUAAUAGCUCACCAAGCGACGAUCAUUAGCUGGUCUGAGAGGAUGAUCAGCCAGACUGGGACUGAGACACGGCCCAGACUCCUACGGGAGGCAGCAGUAGGGAAUUUUCCACAAUGGGCGAAAGCCUGAUGGAGCAACGCCGCGUGCAGGAUGAAGGCCCUAGGGUCGUAAACUGCUUUUAUAUGUGAAGAUUAUGACGGUAGCAUAUGAAUAAGGAUCGGCUAACUCCGUGCCAGCAGCCGCGGUCAUACGGAGGAUCCAAGCGUUAUCCGGAAUUACUGGGCGUAAAGAGUUGCGUAGGUGGCAUAGUAAGUAGGUAGUGAAAUCCUGGGGCUCAACCCUUUAAACAUUAUUUAAACUGCUAAGCUAGAAUAUAGAAGAGGUCGCUGGAAUUCCUUGUGUA
Molecule: ribosomal RNA, 631 nt
Filed under: uncultured bacterium
Lineage: Bacteria
Description: bacterial SSU rRNA
Rfam family: Bacterial small subunit ribosomal RNA
Source: RNAcentral